GGAGUCAGCCAGACAGUCGCCCCGCUUGCCGGGGAGGAAAGUCCGGGCUCCACAGGGCAGGGUGCCAGGUAAUUCCUGGGGGGCGCGAGCCCAUGGAAAGUGCCACAGAAAAUAUACCGCCGGUUUGCUUUUGAGUAAGUGAGCCGGUAAGGGUGAAAUGGUGCGGUAAGAGCGCACCGCACGUCUGGUAACAGGCGUGGCAGGGUAAACCCCACCCGGAGCAAGACCAAAUAGGGGAACCAUGCUGCGGCCCGCAGCGUUCCCGGGUAGGUCGCUCGAGGUAUGCGGUGACGCAUAUCCCAGAUGAAUGGCUGUCCACGACAGAACCCGGCUUAUCGGCUGACUCUUUUU
This 351-nucleotide RNase P RNA is filed under the name Gammaproteobacteria bacterium. RNAcentral's name for it is "RNase P RNA component class A". It matches the Rfam family "Bacterial RNase P class A". From Rfam's summary of the family: Ribonuclease P (RNase P) is a ubiquitous endoribonuclease, found in archaea, bacteria and eukarya as well as chloroplasts and mitochondria. Its best characterised activity is the generation of mature 5'-ends of tRNAs by cleaving the 5'-leader elements of precursor-tRNAs. The record is from RNAcentral. Lineage: Bacteria; Pseudomonadati; Pseudomonadota; Gammaproteobacteria.